Molecule: long non-coding RNA, 240 nt
Filed under: Setaria italica (foxtail millet)
Lineage: Eukaryota; Viridiplantae; Streptophyta; Magnoliopsida; Poales; Poaceae
Description: long non-coding RNA (SITA_LNC004256)
Source: RNAcentral
GGCACUCGGCAAAACCCGAAAUACUCUCGGCAACGACUUCGCCGAGUGUUACACUCGGCAUCUGGCACUCGGGAAAUUUUGUGUCGGCAAAGUAAUAUUCGCCGAGUGUUUUCGGUCGGGCACUCGGCACAGCUUUCGCCGAGUGCCCCGAAAACACUCGGCAAACCUUUUUUUGGAAAAAAAAUAAAAAAAGCACGCCGACACCCGUCGGCCGUACCACAGCACGCCGCCGCCGCCGCC